GACGAACGCUGGCGGCGUGCUUAACACAUGCAAGUCGAACGGAAAGGCCCUGCUUUUGUGGGGUGCUCGAGUGGCGAACGGGUGAGUAACACGUGAGUAACCUGCCCUUGACUUUGGGAUAACUUCAGGAAACUGGGGCUAAUACCGGAUAGGAGCUCCUGCUGCAUGGUGGGGGUUGGAAAGUUUCGGCGGUUGGGGAUGGACUCGCGGCUUAUCAGCUUGUUGGUGGGGUAGUGGCUUACCAAGGCUUUGACGGGUAGCCGGCCUGAGAGGGUGACCGGCCACAUUGGGACUGAGAUAGGGCCCAGACUCCUACGGGAGGCAGCAGUGGGGAAUAUUGCACAAUGGGCGGAAGCCGGAUGCAGCAACGCCGCGUGCGGGAUGACGGCCUUCGGGUUGUAAACCGCUUUCGCCUGUGACGAAGCGUGAGUGACGGUAAUGGGUAAAGAAGCACCGGCUAACUACGU
Molecule: ribosomal RNA, 467 nt
Filed under: uncultured bacterium
Lineage: Bacteria
Description: partial 16S ribosomal RNA
Rfam family: Bacterial small subunit ribosomal RNA
Source: RNAcentral